This 29-nucleotide small nuclear RNA is filed under the name Arabidopsis thaliana (thale cress). RNAcentral describes it as "snRNA_02714". Lineage: Eukaryota; Viridiplantae; Streptophyta; Magnoliopsida; Brassicales; Brassicaceae. The record is from RNAcentral.
UUCCCUCAGGAUAGCUGGAGCUCGGACGC